Molecule: non-coding RNA, 774 nt
Organism: Sus scrofa (pig)
Lineage: Eukaryota; Metazoa; Chordata; Mammalia; Artiodactyla; Suidae
Source: RefSeq, a predicted model, not a curated record
CAGGAGUGUUCCCUCAGCCUGGGUUCUGAAGGAAGGACAUUAUCAGAGAAAGGAGUCAGCAGAUCCGAGCCACAGUUGCAGCUACAGUGCAGCAAUGCCGUAUUUUUGACCCACUGUAACGGGCUGGGGAUUGAACCUGCGUCCUAGCACUCCAGAGACAUCGCUGAUCCUUCUGCAUCACCACAGGAACUCCUAGCCUGGAAAUAUUAAUACUACCUUGCAACAGUCCCACAGCAAAGAGUGGAAACAGAGCUUGAGGGUGCCAAGGAAUGUCUGGGUCCUCAAGAAUGUUUAUUGUGUCACAUAGAUGAUGAGGAACUGGCUGUACUGUGCUUUGGCUGAACCAUGAUGGUACAAUGUAUAGUCUCUUCUUAGCUCUCCAAUCAAGAAGCUGGGCACAAAAACAGUCUUUGCUUUUAGUUUCCCCAUCACUUUCCUUGUGUUUUAGUAUCUCUCUUCAAAGCAUUCUAUCUCUUCUUUGGGGUGGAUUUGAGUGGUUGAGUUAAGGAAAAGCUGCUUUUGCAGCUUUCUCCUUUUGCAUCAUGAUGUUAUCCACCCAAUUCUUUCCAACUCAGUUCCAAGACUGAAGGAUUAUCCUUUCUCUCCAAAUUGCAUGGACUUCCUACAUUUUUCCAUCCUCUCUUCUAUGGUUUUUGUAGGAAAACCCUAAGCUCAGACUCUCAAGCUCUGUGCUGCCUUUGCAAUGGGAAAAUUUGUGAACUGAAAAAAAAGACAUUUUUAAAAAAAGAUUUUCUCUUUCAAUAAAGCCUAAUG